GACGAACGCUGGCGGCGUGCCUAAUACAUGCAAGUCGAACGCACUCUCGUUUAGAUUGAAGGAGUUUGCUCCUGAUUGAUAAACAUUUGAGUGAGUGGCGGACGGGUGAGUAACACGUGGGUAACCUGCCCUAAAGUGGGGGAUAACAUUUGGAAACAGAUGCUAAUACCGCAUAAAACCUAACACCGCAUGGUGUAGGGUUGAAAGAUGGUUUCGGCUAUCACUUUAGGAUGGACCCGCGGUGCAUUAGUUAGUUGGUGAGGUAAAGGCUCACCAAGACCGUGAUGCAUAGCCGACCUGAGAGGGUAAUCGGCCACACUGGGACUGAGACACGGCCCAGACUCCUACGGGAGGCAGCAGUAGGGAAUCUUCCACAAUGGACGAAAGUCUGGUGGAGCAACGCCGCGUGAGUGAAGAAGGUUUUCGGAUCGUAAAACUCUGUUGUUGGAGAAGAAUGUAUCUGAUAGUAACUGAUCAGGUAGUGACGGUAUCCAACCAGAAAGCCACGGCUAACUACGUG
RNAcentral lists this ribosomal RNA (520 nucleotides) under uncultured bacterium. Its description in RNAcentral is "partial 16S ribosomal RNA". It matches the Rfam family "Bacterial small subunit ribosomal RNA", at positions 28 to 507 of the family's 1533-position model. The record is from RNAcentral.